GUGUGAGAUGAAGAAGGCAAUCAAGCUGGCCCUAGGCCAGUGAUGUGUAGAUGGCCAAAGGUUAAACCAAAAUAUUAGACCCAGCUGUUACUGUGAUCAUUGAAGCACCCUGGGAAUUACAGAACAAUAUGGAGUUAACUUUCUGCAUUGCUACGAUACCUCGAUGGUCCUGUUUGGUUUGAUCAAACAGACAAAAAAAUAGUUAUGUCCACAUACCGCUGCCAGCUAAACAGGAACUGGAAGAUAAGAGUUGCAGGUUCCAAAAUAAGACCACAAAAAGACUAUUCUGGCAAGAGUCCA
This 300-nucleotide long non-coding RNA is filed under the name Chrysolophus pictus (golden pheasant). RNAcentral's name for it is "lncRNA (ENSCPIG00010001508.1)". Lineage: Eukaryota; Metazoa; Chordata; Aves; Galliformes; Phasianidae. The record is from RNAcentral.